CAUCCCGACUUACCAACCCGAUGCAAACUGCGAAUACCGGAGAAUGUUAUCACGGGAGACACACGGCGGGUGCUAACGUCCGUCGUGAAGAGGGAAACAACCCAGACCGCCAGCUAAGGUCCCAAAGUCAUGGUUAAGUGGGAAACGAUGUGGGAAGGCCCAGACAGCCAGGAUGUUGGCUUAGAAGCAGCCAUCAUUUAAAGAAAGCGUAAUAGCUCACUGGUCGAGUCGGCCUGCGCGGAAGAUGUAACGGGGCUAAACCAUGCACCGAAGCUGCGGCAGCGACACUAUGUGUUGUUGGGUAGGGGAGCGUUCUGUAAGCCUGCGAAGGUGUCUCGUGAGGGAUGCUGGAGGUAUCAGAAGUGCGAAUGCUGACAUAAGUAACGAUAAUGCGGGUGAAAAACCCGCACGCCGGAAGACCAAGGGUUCCUGUCCAACGUUAAUCGGGGCAGGGUGAGUCGACCCCUAAGGCGAGGCCGAAAGGCGUAGUCGAUGGGAAACAGGUUAAUAUUCCUGUACUUGGUGUUACUGCGAAGGGGGGACGGAGAAGGCUAUGUUAGCCGGGCGACGGUUGUCCCGGUUUAAGCAUGUAGGCGGAGGUUCCAGGUAAAUCCGGUACCUUAUUAACGCUGAGGUGUGAUGACGAGGCACUACGGUGCUGAAGUAACAAAUGCCCUGCUUCCAGGAAAAGCCUCUAAGCAUCAGGUAACAUCAAAUCGUACCCCAAACCGACACAGGUGGUCAGGUAGAGAAUACCAAGGCGCUUGAGAGAACUCGGGUGAAGGAACUAGGCAAAAUGGUGCCGUAACUUCGGGAGAAGGCACGCUGAUAUGUAGGUGAAGUGGUUUACCCAUGGAGCUGAAAUCAGUCGAAGAUACCAGCUGGCUGCAACUGUUUAUUAAAAACACAGCACUGUGCAAACACGAAAGUGGACGUAUACGGUGUGACGCCUGCCCGGUGCCGGAAGGUUAAUUGAUGGGGUUAUCCGUAAGGAGAAGCUCUUGAUCGAAGCCCCGGUAAACGGCGGCCGUAACUAUAACGGUCCUAAGGUAGCGAAAUUCCUUGUCGGGUAAGUUCCGACCUGCACGAAUGGCGUAAUGAUGGCCAGGCUGUCUCCACCCGAGACUCAGUGAAAUUGAACUCGCUGUGAAGAUGCAGUGUACCCGCGGCAAGACGGAAAGACCCCGUGAACCUUUACUAUAGCUUGACACUGAACACUGGUCCUUGAUGUGCAGGAUAGGUGGGAGGCUUUGAAGCGCGGACGCCAGUUCGUGUGGAGCCAUCCUUGAAAUACCACCCUUUAAUGGCUGGUGUUCUAACGUAGACCCGUGAUCCGGGUUGCGGACAGUGUCUGGUGGGUAGUUUGACUGGGGCGGUCUCCUCCUAAAGAGUAACGGAGGAGCACGAAGGUUAGCUAAUCCUGGUCGGACAUCAGGAGGUUAGUGCAAAGGCAUAAGCUAGCUUGACUGCGAGCGUGACGGCGCGAGCAGGUGCGAAAGCAGGUC
Molecule: ribosomal RNA, 1505 nt
Filed under: Salmonella enterica subsp. enterica serovar Goldcoast
Lineage: Bacteria; Pseudomonadati; Pseudomonadota; Gammaproteobacteria; Enterobacterales; Enterobacteriaceae
Description: partial 23S ribosomal RNA
Rfam family: Bacterial large subunit ribosomal RNA
Source: RNAcentral